RNAcentral lists this microRNA (24 nucleotides) under Zea mays. RNAcentral describes it as "microRNA miR-3039". The record is from RNAcentral. Lineage: Eukaryota; Viridiplantae; Streptophyta; Magnoliopsida; Poales; Poaceae.
CUGUAGUGACUAACAGUGAGGCAG